UAUUAGUGUCUAGAACAAACAUAUGACAGUUUGACCACAAAACCACAAACUAAACUAAAGACGAAUAGCAAGUUUAAAAGUGAAAACAUAUCACUUUAUAUUAUAAGAACAAAUUUAAGUAGCAAAUAAAAAUAGGAAUCCAUCAGCAAUUGACAAAAAACUCAUCUGAUUGAAAGAUUUUUUAACCAUUCAUUAGAACCACUAAUUGCUAUCUAUUGUAACAACACCAACAAUGGCAUCUCUUAUUUCUCGAGCUCAUAAAUUAGUGAUAUUGAAUGAUAAAUUGCAGGAAAAAAACAUAACAGAACCACAAACAUUUAACACUGAAAUGAAACUUAGGAGAUUCAAAAAGAGAUUAAAAAAGUGAGGCUUGCUAACUUAGGGGAAUAAUAAGCUUUACAAUUGGCUUUCAUUUAACAUCAAGAAAUGCAUAACUCAAGCUUCAAAAAAACAAAUUAAAAUGUUAGAAGCAAAAUGGUUUUCACCUCAACAGAACUUGAUUUUGAAAAAAAGAGUUGAAUUUCGAGAUAUUUUAGUUUAACUCAAACAUUUUCUAUUGUUUUUGUCAAAAUUAAAAGUAGAAUCAAACAACACCAGAAUCCAAACAUAUUUGUUCAGUUGAUAUUUGAGAAAUUUCAGAAAACUCAAAAACCUCUGCCAUUGUUUGUUUGAUAACUCAAAAACAUUCAAUGAAACAUAGCCAUGUGCAUUAAAGUCAAUAGGAAAAGUUGCAAAAAAAUAGGAAAAUUUUCAAGCUUCAAUUACUUUUUGAAGAGAUAGCGGUGGACCAAAAAAGGUUAUUGAGUCAUGAUGGAAAUACUAUUAAUUCAGUUGAAAAGUAUAUAUCUUAUGCUAAAUGAGUGCUGCUUAUUUCUUCAAAUGUAACUUCUAGCAUAACUUUCUCUUGAUUCAUCCAGCCAUCUAUAUUAAUUGACACUGAAGAAAUUGAUUAAGGUACAAUAUAGUGU
RNAcentral lists this long non-coding RNA (968 nucleotides) under Trifolium pratense (red clover). Its description in RNAcentral is "long non-coding RNA (TPRA_LNC008067)". The record is from RNAcentral. Lineage: Eukaryota; Viridiplantae; Streptophyta; Magnoliopsida; Fabales; Fabaceae.